ACUCCUACGGGAGGCAGCAGUAGGGAAUCUUCCACAAUGGGUGCAAACCUGAUGGAGCAAUGCCGCGUGAGUGAAGAAGGUCUUCGGAUCGUAAAGCUCUGUUGUUAGAGAAGAACACGUGCUAGGUAACUACUAGCGCCUUGACGGUAUCUAACCAGAAAGUCACGGCUAACUACGUGCCAGCAGCCGCGGUAAUACGUAGGUGACAAGCGUUGUCCGGAUUUAUUGGGCGUAAAGGGAGCGCAGGCGGUCUGUUUAGUCUAAUGUGAAAGCCCACGGCUUAACCGUGGAACGGCAUUGGAAACUGACAGCCUUGAAUGUAGAAGAGGAAAAUGGAAUUCCAAGUGUAGCGGUGGAAUGCGUAGAUAUUUGGAGGAACACCAGUGGCGAAGGCGAUUUUCUGGUCUAACAUUGACGCUGAGGCUCGAAAGCGUGGGGAGCGAACAGGAUUAGAUACCCCAGUAGUCCC
This 469-nucleotide ribosomal RNA is filed under the name uncultured organism. RNAcentral's name for it is "partial 16S ribosomal RNA". It matches the Rfam family "Bacterial small subunit ribosomal RNA", at positions 335 to 797 of the family's 1533-position model. The record is from RNAcentral.